UUCGGAUCCAUUAGAAACAAAAGAACCCCUUAUCCCUCUUUUGCAGAAACCCUAGCGUCAAAAUCUCUCAGCCAAUCUCUCAGCCAAUUCCUUCUUCUUCCCUUCAAUGCACAGCGAUCUACAAGAUGAUAAAGGCGUUUGGUUUAUGAUGUGCUUUUGAAGCAGGCAACUUUAGUUAAAGAUCAAGUUAUUGAGAAGUGAAGAAGUUUGUUCAGAGUAUGCCAAGACACUCUAUUUAGAUGAUGUUGCUUCAGUUGCACUCAUUCCAACUCCAGUUUCAGUUUCAACAAAUCCAAAGUGGCUACUGAACUCGCAUUAAAAUACAUUACACUUAGACCUUUCAGUUGGGAUCAAGAUACUGACAAAGUCAAUGUGAGGGUGUAUUUUUGUGUUAAUUGUCUACCAGUUGUAAGUUUAUAACUAUAUAUUAUUUAUUCUUGCUAGCUUUUAAAUGGAAGGAAAAUUUAUUUACCAGGUACACUUUCUUUUUGUAUCUAGAAGGACCAUUUUCAUUCUUCAUCGUUUUAUGCCUUUUAAUGGGUGAAUGCUUUUGUUACCCACUUAAUUGUGAGUUGGUUGAUUUUGGGUUACCCUUUACCUUUUUAAUCUCUGUCGGGUCAAAUAAAAAACCUAGAUAUGAAGUAAACAGGUCAAAUGGAUUGAAAAUCACCUAAAAUAUAUUAAAGCAUGCAAUCUCUAUCUAUUAGUUUACUUAGAAGGUGAAUAUAGACAUGUUUUGGUAGCCUUCCCACCAGCUAAUGUCAAGUGUAGUUCUUAUUUUCAAGAAAUUAACCGGUGAAUGCUGAGUUUUGAAUAUUAUUUUAUUUUCAUUGUAGUUUGAAUUGACUAUUCAUGCAAUAAAGGUCGUGUUUUUUGUUGCUUACAGGGUAAUACCAACGGUUCUAGGAACAAAACCAGAAUUACUCUGACAAUUUAUGUGUUCUUUUGAACGAAGAUAGAAUCUUGAUUAUAAAAAAGAACUCCAAAUCUAAUGAAUCUGUUUGGUUUCUUGAGGUAAUAGUAUUCACAUUUAUUGAUCUUGAAAUGAUAGCGUUCGUUAGGUUUUAUUAGGUGGACACACAAUUUAGACGAGACCAAAAAAGUUUGAAACAAAAGUUGUUGCUUGGAGUGAGGGGUUAUUGGUAAUGCUGAGCGGCCCAUAGUAAUUAGUAGCCCGUGUAUGUCGGGUUUGUAAUAUGUCAAAAACGUUUUGUCAAGUGAUGGUUUGAUUUGAAUUCACUAAAUUUUAUGGUUUG
RNAcentral lists this long non-coding RNA (1256 nucleotides) under Helianthus annuus (common sunflower). Its description in RNAcentral is "hypothetical non coding rna". Lineage: Eukaryota; Viridiplantae; Streptophyta; Magnoliopsida; Asterales; Asteraceae. The record is from RNAcentral.